AGAUAACAUAAAAAUUAAAAUACUCACCAGAUAGAUAUAUUAAUUAACUAAAUGAAAAUGAGAAAAUGCGAAAAGUAAACAACUUCAUAAAAAAUAAAAAAAUAAUAAAAUUUUAUUUACAAAUAUGAACAAAAAGAAAAGAAAAAGCUUUGUAUUGUUUAAAAUCCACUGGAAAUUUUGGUGAUUUUGAAUACUUCAAUGGACAGUAAUUGUUGUGGUUAUUCCUCACACUAUAAGGACUG
Long non-coding RNA from Harmonia axyridis, 242 nucleotides. RefSeq lists it as uncharacterized. NCBI's taxonomy places the organism in Eukaryota, Metazoa, Arthropoda, Insecta, Coleoptera, Coccinellidae. The record is from RefSeq and is a predicted model, not a curated record. The transcript is spliced from 2 exons.